RNAcentral lists this transfer RNA (68 nucleotides) under Digitonthophagus gazella. Its description in RNAcentral is "tRNA-Trp". Lineage: Eukaryota; Metazoa; Arthropoda; Insecta; Coleoptera; Scarabaeidae. The record is from RNAcentral.
AAGGAUUUAAGUUAUUUUAAACUAGAAACCUUCAAAGUUUCAAAAAAAGAAUGUCUCUUUAAGCCUUA